RNAcentral lists this unclassified non-coding RNA (337 nucleotides) under uncultured Inocybe. Its description in RNAcentral is "sequence contains ITS1". The stretch from base 1 to 105 matches the Rfam family "5.8S ribosomal RNA", at positions 50 to 154 of the family's 154-position model. Lineage: Eukaryota; Fungi; Basidiomycota; Agaricomycetes; Agaricales; Cortinariaceae. The record is from RNAcentral.
GAAAUGCGAUAAGUAAUGUGAAUUGCAGAAUUCAGUGAAUCAUCGAAUCUUUGAACGCAUCUUGCGCUCCUUGGUAUUCCGAGGAGCAUGCCUGUUUGAGUGUCAUGUAACUUCUCUCAACUACAUCAAUGAUGUGGCUUGGAUGUGGGGGAUUUUCUUUGCGGGUUUUGAAUGAAGUCUGCUCCCCUGAAAUGCAUUAGUGGUAUCUGAGCUGCUAUAGGUGUGAUAAUUAUCUACGCCUUUGGUCAUGCUGGUUGUGCUGCUUCUAACAAAGUGGAAAAGACCACUGUUUGACAAAUUUGACCUCAAAUCAGGUAGGACUACCCGCUGAACUUAA